RNAcentral lists this ribosomal RNA (319 nucleotides) under uncultured bacterium. Its description in RNAcentral is "bacterial SSU rRNA". It matches the Rfam family "Bacterial small subunit ribosomal RNA", at positions 28 to 334 of the family's 1533-position model. The record is from RNAcentral.
GAUGAACGCUAGCGGCAGGCUUAACACAUGCAAGUCGAGGGGCAGCGGGGAGGAAGCUUGCUUUCUCCGCCGGCGACCGGCGCACGGGUGAGUAACACGUAUGCAACCUGGCCGUGACAGAUGGAUAACCGGGAGAAAUCCCGCCUAAUACAACAUAAUGCCGGGAGGGGACAUCCCCUGCCGGCCAAAGGGGGCGACCCCGGUCAUGGAUGGGCAUGCGGCGCAUUAGGUAGUUGGUGGGGCAACGGCCCACCAAGCCGACGAUGCGUAGGGGUUCUGAGAGGAAGGUCCCCCACAUUGGAACUGAGACACGGUCCAA